UUUGCUAGAGAAAACGGACGCUGAACUGCUCUCUGCCAGAUCAGCCAAUGAUCAGCUGGAACAUGAAAUUGCUGAUGUGAAGGAUGAGUUGGUUCAGAAGGAGAAAGAGCUCCUAGAAGCUAUGCUGAUGAUCUCCGUCGUGCAGAGUGAAAAAUCUGAACUAUCCAAGGCAGUGGAGGAUUUAGAAUGUAGAUACAAGGAAGCUAAAGCUAUAGAGGAAGAUAAAGAUAAGCAGGUUUUGAAACUCCAAGGCGAUUACGAGGAGCAGGUUAAGAAGACUGGUCAUGCAAACGAAGCUAAUAUGAAACUGGAAGCUGACUUGUUGAACUUGCUCAUGGAACUCGAAGGAAUCAAAGCGGAGAAGGAAAAACUAAACCGGGAGCUUUCCAAAGAGAAGAGUGAGGUUGAAGUAUGGGAGUCUCAAGCUUCAACGUUGUUUAGAGAUUUGCAGAUUUCAGCUGUUAGUGAAACAUUGCUGCAAGGGUUGACUUAUGAGCUAGCGGAAGCUUAUAAUAACCUUGAAAAUAGAUGCACACUAAAAGACGUGGAGAUUGACCAACUGAACCAAAAGCUUUCCAAAGAGAAGAACGAGGUUGAACAAUGGGAGUCUCAAGCUUCAACACUGUUUGGAGAUUUGCAGAUUUUAGUUGUUCAUAAAACAUUACUGGAAGGGUUGGUCCAUGAGUUAGUGGAAGCCUACAAUAACCUUGAGAGUAGAUGUACACGAAAAGACGUUGAGAUUGACCAGCUUAAAGGAAGAGUCAACAACUUAGAGGAUGCUAACAAAGGACAAGAAGAUCUUAUGAGGAAAUACUUCCAAGCUAUUAUAUUGUUGAAGGAAAGCAUAGAAUCUUUAGAAAAACAUAUUGACAUGCCACAUGAACUCGAGGAUGAACCACCCACGGUAUGUUAUCUUAGCAAACUCUCCUUCUAAUGAAGCGUUAAGACAGCUUUAUCGUUGGACCAUUGCAUCCGUUUCUUUGUCAAUUUUAAUAUUUUCUUGUGUGAAAGUAACCAAUCUUUUUGUGCUUAUCUCAUACCAGGACACUGCUUCUAUGGUGGAUAACAACAAGGAGGGCUUCUUAGAGUUGGAAGAAAUGUGUUUGAGAAUCAAAGCUAUUGAAGAGGCCUUAACCAAGAAGCUCGCAGUGGAAGAACUAAGAACAUCUGCCCGAAGAAGCAGAAGGAGAAGCGGAAGUCUCCGGAAACAGAACAAUGAAAUCUAUUCACAGGAAAGUGAAAUGAUCACCAAAGAUAUUGUCCUCGACCAGGUCUCUGAUUGCUCAUCAUAUGGGAUUAGCAAGAGAGACAUUCUCAAGAUAGAAGAUGAUCACAGUUUUGAGGCACAGACGGGUAAGUCCUUGUCCGAAGAGUCACUUGUUGUGGACAAACUAGAGAUCUCCGACAGGUUCACGGACCCAAACAAAGAAGUAAACAAGAGGAAAGUCCUCGAGCGGCUUCAUUCUGAUCUACAGAAGCUCUCGAAUCUUCACAUAGCCGUGGAGGAUUUGAAAAGCAAAGUGGAGAGAGAGGAGACAAGCGAGAAAGGGAAAGAAGACGAAUACGAAGCCGUCAAGGGACAGAUCCACGAAGCGGAGGAAGCCUUGGAGAAGCUUCUAAGCGUCAACAGGAAGCUAGUAACAAAAGUCAUAAGCGGGUUUGAGAUAUCAGACGGAAGCAAAUCUUCAGUGGAUCUUGAUGAGGAUGAGAGAAGCAGGAGGAGGAAGAUAUCAGAGCAAGCGAGGAGAGGUUCGGAGAAGAUUGGGAGGUUGCAGUUUGAGAUACAGAGGUUACAGUUUCUGUUGCUGAAGCUAGAAGGAGAAAGAGAGGAUCGAGCUAAAGCUAAGACGUCGGAUAGCAAAACGAGGACUCUUCUUAAGGAUUAUAUCUAUGGAGGAGUGAGAGGUGAGCGAAGGAAGAGGAUCAAGAAGCGGUUUGCGUUUUGUGGGUGUGUGCAGCAACCGCCUCCAUCUCCUUGAUCGUUUUUGAAUUGUGGAGUAAAACGUAAUAAUAAUGAAAGUGAAUUCAAGUUUUAUAUAUACAUGAAUCAAAAACAAAACACCUUCGGUAGAAUUAGAGUUUUUACAUAUUAAAGUUUAAGUCAUUUAACUCUCGGCAGCUCUGAAAAUGGUAAGGAGAGACAAGAAGAGGUUGACGAUGUCCAAGUAGAGAGAAACCGCUGCCCAGAUGUACUCAUCGUAACUGUAACGUUUGAUGAGAUUGUCUGUAUCGUACACUAUGUAGCCGCAGAAUAUUAUAGAUGCCAAGCAACCGUAGAUCAUCACUGAGAUCCUACCCAACGGGAAAAAGAUCUGCACAACAUUGAAACAAAGAUGAAGCUCAUAUAUUCAAUCAAAUGUUUAACCAAAAACAAAGCAAGUGUAAGAGGAAUGACAUGUGUGUUGUUUACCUGAAUAAGAGCAAAGACCAUGAGAACGAUGAUAGCACCAAACAAGAAUGGGCCGAGGAAGUUGAAGUCAUAUCCUUUCUUUGCAGCCCAGAAGGUGUAGAAGGUUAAGGAAAGCACCACUACUGUUGUCAGAAUCGCUGACUCAAGAAUCACUUUCCCUGUUCCAACAAAACAAAGUUACAGUAGCCACAACUUUAUUUUACAUCUCUGAUUUUUUCUUUUUGUUAUUUAGUAGAAAAAAAAUUAUGUUAUUUAGUAUUCCUUAACGUGUUGUUGAGUAACGGGAAAGUUAGAAAAAGACAUCCCAGAUAUGUGUUGGAGACUUCAUUUAAUUUUAGUCAUUAGCGUGUUGUUUAAGCAGAGUCACGUGAAAGGCAAGAAACGAACAAAAGAGUAGAGUGUGUCACAAGUAAAAAAAAUGUAUUUACCGCUGGUGAAUGCACAUGAUAGCCCGACGGCGAAAGCGAGAGCCACCGUGAAAACACCAAGAAGCAAGUAGUUCACCGGAUGUUUCUGGUGGUAAUAGUACAAAGGACACAACACUGCAAUAAACAAAAACAGUUUCAGACACAAACUCAAACGAACAGACAAAAAAAACUCGAGUUAGCAAAGUUUACCUAGAAGAGGCGUGAUGAUCAGAACUAUCCACAGAGCAAGGCCAGCGCUAGUGGUGGAGAAGAACACGGCGAUCGGACGUACGGUGACAACCGUGGCGGCGACGGCGAUUGUUAGUAAAAGCUGAAAAGCGAUUAUGGAGUAAACCUUGCGGAUGAAGCCCCACCGGAGUUCGGGGCUCUCGAGCAUCGUCGGAUACAGAGGUCUCUCGCCGCCGCUCUCCACGUCAUCUUUGCGGUAGGGAAGAUUCCACUUAUGCAUAUUCCUGUAAUAAAAAAAAACGCGGGAAUAUUCGAUCGUGAGGGGGUCAGAGGUAUUGAUUUGCUUGUUACGAGAGAAGAAAAGGGUUUUGGAAGUUAUAAAAGCAGUUGCGGGAAGACGAAGGGAACGUUCUUGAAGACGCGUGAUAACAUGAUGAAACGUUAGCGGUAAAGGUGGAAACCGUAUCUACUACAAAUCUCUAGAUGGCUCCAAAGUUUCCUUUUUAACUGUUUUUAUUUGGUGUUUUAUGUGAAAUCUUAUUAUGGGCCUUAUACGGGCCUAAGUGAGAGGAUUAUUUAAACCGGGCUUAACAUUUUUAGGUCCUUUCUUGGGUUUAUAUUAGAAGGUCCAUUUGUUCCUGAUAUUGAACUUAGUCGUAAUUCAUAAGUUUUUUUUUGUCAACCUAAUUCGUAAGGGUUUAAUCAUUGUAAUUAGGCCUGGCCAUUUCGGGUAUCGGUUCGGUUCGGUUCGGGUAUUUUGGGUUUCGGAUAGUUUGGAUAGGGGUUAGAAGAUUUAUUUAGUACUUGAUCUAUUUUCGAUUCGGUUCGGUUAUUUCGGAUAUAAAAAUAUAGGAACCGUUCGGAUAUUUGAAGAUAUUGGUCUGGUUUCGGGUAUUUCGGUUCGGUUCCGGUUUGAUUCUUCGGUUCCGGUUAUUUUUCCCAGGUCUAAUUGUAAAAAUUAAAUGAUUGAUUUUUCGACCAUAACUUUGUCUGUUUUUCGUCGGUAUUUUUUGGUUAUUCUAUACUUUUAUGUCGUGAGGCAUGAUUAUAGCCGUCGCUUGUCAUGCACAAUUUGUCUUGUUUAUACAUCGCAAGAAUCAAACAAAUGAAAAUACAAGUAUCAUAUUGUUUAAUGCUCGAAAUUACACUUCUUGACCUAGUUUAGCUUUUAUUUCUGCAAAUUAUACAGUAUAUACUUUUUUUAUCCACCAACUUUUUAUACUUUUGUUUGAUGGCUAUUUACCAUGAAAUGCACCACUUCUUGUUUGCUUGUUUAGUCUACGUGACCUCUACAUUUUGUUUUUAAAUACCUAAAGCCCACAACCUGCUCACCGUGUCAUGUAAGCCAUAUUUUCAAAGAAAGCAAAAUGAUACUAAGAUUAAUAUAUAUAUAUAUAUAUAAUAUAACAGGUGAAAAGUACACACACUAUAUAGAGCAAAUCAAACUUUAGCAAGGAGAUACAGCAAACAAACUCGACUUUUUUUUUGUUUAGUUUGAAUUUUUCCAAAUUGAAUAGUUGUCUAUACAAACAUUAACUAUUAUCCACGACCUAGUAACAAUAAUGUUCUUCACAGAAUAAACUUCUACAACAUAGCAAAAAAAAAGCACUAAAAGUUUUGGUCACAACAACUCACAAGUGUUGUUGUAAUAAUAUUGUCCAAAGAGGAGGGCAUCACGUCUCGCAAUCGCUCAUCAAAGCCUAGACAAACACGUGGCAUUCUCGUUCCCGGUGGGCUCUUCGUCCGAUUGUAGACGUGAACCUAUAAUGGACUUUGAUGUUUGACCUUUUACUGGUCCCUAUUUUUCUUCAUAUUUACAAUUUAGGUCUCAUGUAUAUAUUUUAAGUUUCCGCUAUUAGUUGCAUAAAAACAAAUUUAACAAUUACGUCCAGGAUCCACAAGUAGUUGAAUAAGUUUCAUAUACAAAAGACAUAAUAUACUCAUACAUCUAGUAUAUAAAACAAAAUUAAAUAAUAAUUAUGCUCAAAAUUUUUUGAGCGAGUCAACUUAUGUUACUUUCACGUAUAAAUUGUCAAAUGUAUUUAAAUUCAAGUGUCUUAUUAUUUUUUUUCUUAUACAUUGGCUGAUUGUCUGCGCCAUCGGUUUGGGAGAGUCUUAUACAUAAUUUUUAAUUAGAUUAUAAUAGGUCAAUAUAGGAAUGAAAUAUUAUAAUGGGUAUCAAACUAAUAUAAAACAAAAAUACGAGGACUAAUAACGAAAUCAAGCUGGAAAUAAGAGAGAGAGAGAGAGAGAGAGAGGAACAAACGAAAUCGUGUCUAGAGAGAGAAAGUGAGACGACUUGAGCGACAAUCAAGGCGCGGAGAGACGCCGUCAACAAACAAAAGAAAAAAAAACAGCACAAGAACAAAAAAAAAAAAAUAAUAAUAAUAAUAAUUACGAAAGAAAGGAUCUUCUUCUUCUUCUUCGCUUUGGGUUGAUUAAUCUGUGAAAAUCUAAAUCACUAAUCAAAAUUAAAAAAAUUAAUAAGAAAUCGAUUUUUAUUUUCAGAUCUUUCUUCUGAACACGAAACCCUACAUUGCACUUCUUAGCUCAAUUUCAUCUUUUGGAGAGAUGAGAAGAGUUUCGAGUUGAUCGCAAUUAGGGUUGAUUGAUUGUUCUUUUUUCCGAUCGACGACUCGGAUCUGGUUUAGUCGUCGUCGUCGUCGUCGGAUGAAAGUGGAGAGCCAUGAAAUGGGCAACAUUGCUUAAGGACUUCAAGGAGAAGGUCGGUUUAGCUCAAUCCCCUGACGCCUCUACCUCCGACUCCUUCGCCGUUGACCUAUCUGCCCCGCCGUCUUCCUCCGCCUCUCCUUCCUCUGCUCACCCCGACGCGUCGUCUAAUCAUCGCCUUGACUUCCGCACUGAACUAGAACAGGAAAAUAUUGGGAAACAAGUGCAGAUUGAUUCCUCGGUUGAUUGCAUUAAAGUACUUAGAACUGGGAUCUACCAGGUAUUAAUGAAGCUUGAAAUUAUCCCAGGUUUUGGUUCCGGUGAUGAGAACUCACAAGACCAGAAAAAUAUUCAUGAGAUAUUGAGUAGACUUGGUGAGAUGCAAGCUAUGCUUUUGAAGAUUCAGAGAGAAAACCAUCAGGGGACUAUUGAGAACCUCGUCCUUGUUGAGUUUCUUCGGCAGCUGAAAUUAGAAGCUGUUGGUAUUGCAACAGGAAAGAAAGUACUUGAAAAGGAACUUGAAUCUGAGCGUUCUCAGAUCUUGCUUUUGCAGGAUGAGAUCCAGAAGCUUAUCAACAUGAAUGGAGAAUUGACCACAAAGGUUAAUCAAGGAGUUGACAGAGAGGAAGUCUUGAAGGUGGAAGUUGAGGAUGUGCACAGGCAGUCAGCCAUUGAGAACCUCGUCCUUGUUGAAUUUAUUAAGCAGCUUAAAUCAGAAGCUGUUGGCAUUGCAACUGAGAAGGAAACCCUUGAGGAAGAACUUGAGUCUCAUCGUUACCAGCUCUCUUUUUCGCGAGAUGAGACCAAAAAACUUACCUACAUGAUUGGAGAAUUGACCACAAAAAUUAAUCAAGGAGUCAACAGAGAAAAAGUCUUGAAGGUGGAAGUUGAUCAAGGUGUCAACAGAGAAGAAAUCUUGAAAGUGGAAAUUGAGGAUUUGCACAGGCAAUCAGCUAUUGAGAACCUUGUCCUUGUUGAAUUGCUUCAUCAACUUAAAUCAGAAGUUGUUGGUAUUGCAACUGAGAAGAAAAAUCUUGAGGAAGAACUUGAAUCUCAGCGUUACCAGCUAUCGUUUUUGCGGGAUGAGACCAAGAACCUUAGCCACAUGAUUGAAGAAUUGACUACAAAAGUCAAUCAAGGAGUUGACAGAGAAGAAGUCUUGAAGGUGGAAGUUGAUGAUUUGCACAGGCAGUCUGCCAUUGAGAACCUAGUCCUUGUUGAAUUUCUUCGGUCACAAGCUGUUGGUAUUGCAGCUGAGAAGAGAGCCCUUGAGGAAGAACUUCAAUCUCAGCUUUGUGAGACCAAAAAACUUAGCCACAUGAUUGAAGAGUUGACUACAAAAGUUAAUCAAGGAUUCAACAGAGAAGAAGUCUUGAAGGUUGAAGUUGAUGAUAUGCACAUGCACUCUGCCAUUGAGAACCUUGUCCUUGUUGAAUUUCUUCAGCAACUUAGGUCAGAAGCUGCUGGUAUUGCAACUGAGAAGAGUGUCCUUGAGGAAAAACUUGAAUCUCACCGUGACCAGCUCUCUUUUUCUAGGAAUGAGUCCAAGAACCUUAGCCACAUGAAUGGAGAAUUAACCACAAAAGUUAAUCAAGGAAUCAACAGAGAAGAAGUCUUGAAGGUGGAAAUUGAGGAUUUGCAUAGGCAGUCAGCUAUUGAGAAGUUAGUCCAUGUUGAAUUCCUUCAUCAACAUAAAUCAGAAACUGUUAGCAUUGCAGCUGAGAAGAAAAACCUUGAGGAAGAACUUGAAUCUAAGAGUUCCCAGCUAUCGUUGUUGCGAGAUGAGGCCAAGAACCUUAGCCACAUGAUUGAAGAAUUGACCACAAAGGUUAAUCAAGGAGUAUACAGAGAGGAAGUCUUGAAGGUGGAAAAUGAGGAUUUGCAAAUGCUGUCUGCUAUUGAGAACCUAGUCCUUGUUGAAUUUAUUCGGUCACAUGCUGUUGGUAUUGCAACUGAGAAGAGAACCCUUGAGCAAGAACUUCAAUCUCAGCUUUACCUGCUAUCGUUUUCGCAGGAAGAGACCAAAAAACUUAGCCACAUGAUUGAAGAAUUGACUACAAAAGUUAACCAAGGAGUUAACAGAGAAGAAGUCUUGAAGGUUGAAGUUGAUGAUAUGCACAUGCAGUCUGCCAUUGAGAACCUGGUCCUUGUUGAAUUUCUUCAGCAACUUAAAUCAGAAGCAGUUGGUAUUGCAACUGAGAAGAAAAACCUUGAGGAAGAACUUGAAUCUCAGCUUUACCUGCUCUCGCUUUCACAGGAUGAGACCAAAAAACUUAGCCACAUGAUUGAAAAAUCGACCACAAAAGUUAAUCAAGGAGUCAGAAGAGAAGAAGUCUUGAAGGUUGAAAAUGAGGAUUUGCAAAUGCUGUCUGCCAUUAAGAACCUCAUCCUUGUUGAAUCUCUUUGUCAACUCAAAUCAGAAGUGGUUUGUAUUGCAACUGAGAAAAAACUCCUUGAAGAAGAACUUGAAUCUCAGCGUUCCAUGCUCUCGCUUUCUCGGGAUGAGACUCAGAAACUUAUCUACAUGAAUGGAGAAUUAACCACCAAAAUUAAACAAGGAGUCAACAGAGAAGAAGCAUUGAAGGUGGAAAUUGAGGAUGUGCACAGGCAAGUCUUGCAACUUCGAAACGACUACGCCACUUUGCAGGGAGAGAAUCACAAAACGUUGGACGAGAAAACAUACUUAACAAAGUCAACACUGCGGUUAGAGGAGGAGAAACGUAAACUAGAAGAGGACAUCUCUUUGCUUCUUUCCGAGACUAUAUACCAAAGCAAUCUCAUUAUUCUCUUGGAGGAUCUCGUUUUGGAAAAACUUUCAGAAGCGGUGAAACUAAACGAGGAUUUGGACAGGCUGGAGGAAGAGGUGAGGGAGGUUGGUGAUAAGUUAACAUCCAGAGAAACUGAGAACUUGCAGCUUGAAGGUUUGCUAGAGAAAGCAGACGCCGAGCUGCUCUCUGCCAGAUCAGCCAAUGAUCAGUUGGAACAUGAAAUUGCUGAUGUGAAGGAUGAGUUGGUUCAGAAGGAGAAAGAGCUUCUAGAAGCUAUGCUGAUGAUCUCCAUCGUGAAGAGUGAAAAAUCUGAACUAUCCAAGGCAGUGGAGGAUUUAGAAUGUAGAUACAAG
This 8797-nucleotide long non-coding RNA is filed under the name Brassica napus (rape). RNAcentral describes it as "long non-coding RNA (BNAP_LNC008641)". The record is from RNAcentral. Lineage: Eukaryota; Viridiplantae; Streptophyta; Magnoliopsida; Brassicales; Brassicaceae.